UACAUAGGGGGCGAGCGUUAUCCGGAUUUACUGGGCGUAAAGGGUGCGUAGGUUGUUUCUUAAGUUUCUGGUGUAAGUGCAGUGCUCAACGCUGUGAUGCUAGGAAAACUGGGAAGCUAGAGUGGGACAGAGGCAAGUGGAAUUCCAUGUGUAGCGGUAAAAUGCGUAAAUAUAUGGAGGAACACCAGUGGCGAAGGCGGCUUGCUGGGUCCAAACUGACGCUGAUGCACGAAAGCGUGGGGAGCAAACA
RNAcentral lists this ribosomal RNA (250 nucleotides) under uncultured bacterium. Its description in RNAcentral is "partial 16S ribosomal RNA". It matches the Rfam family "Bacterial small subunit ribosomal RNA", at positions 524 to 774 of the family's 1533-position model. The record is from RNAcentral.